Molecule: ribosomal RNA, 359 nt
Filed under: uncultured Methanosaeta sp.
Lineage: Archaea; Methanobacteriati; Methanobacteriota; Methanomicrobia; Methanotrichales; Methanotrichaceae
Description: bacterial SSU rRNA
Rfam family: Archaeal small subunit ribosomal RNA
Source: RNAcentral
CUGAGAGGUGGUGCAUGGCCGUCGUCAGUUCGUACUGUGAAGCAUCCUGUUAAGUCAGGCAACGAGCGAGACCCACGUCCACAGUUGCCAGCAUACCCUCCGGGGUGAUGGGUACACUGUGUAGACCGCCGCUGCUAAAGCGGAGGAAGGAGUGGGCAACGGUAGGUCAGUAUGCCCCGAAUCUCCCGGGCUACACGCGGGCUACAAUGGUUGGUACAAUGGGCAUCUACCCCGAAAGGGGAAGGAAAUCUCUUAAAGCCAAUCGUAGUUCGGAUUGAGGGCUGCAACUCGCCCUCAUGAAGCUGGAAUCCGUAGUAAUCGCGUUUCAACAGAACGCGGUGAAUACGUCCCUGCUCCUU